Gasterosteus aculeatus aculeatus (three-spined stickleback) is the source of this 1510-nucleotide long non-coding RNA. NCBI's taxonomy places the organism in Eukaryota, Metazoa, Chordata, Actinopteri, Perciformes, Gasterosteidae. The record is from Ensembl.
CCGGCAUUGAAGCUCCUCCCACCAGCAGGACUCACAAGGAGACGUUCGCGACAGAAGGUUUGCAGCGGAGGAGAGCUGAACAUCAUUAAUCUGUUGGCUGGCAUUAAUCAUCACUCAUAGAUCGGUCAAUAGGUGACUCACUCACCAGCAAGCCAGUGGAACCUACAGAGCAUGCGGAGAAUGAAUGAGGAAAGCCAAGAUCUACUUCUGUGGAAGCCAGUGUAAAGACCUGAGAACUGGAGCGACGUGAUCCACUUUCCUGGUCCUAGUGAGGACUCGAGCUGCAGCGUUCUGGAUCAGCUGUAGCUUUCUGAUUGACUUUUUACAGAGACAUGUAAAAACACUGUUACAGUAGUUGAGACUACUGAAGAUAAACGCAUGGACAAGUUUUUCCAAAUCUUUCCACAUCCUACAAUACACAUUGACAAAAUAAAUUGUGUUGUGUGGUGUAGUUAGUGGACUCAAACGCACACGCACAGCAGUGAGUUAAAUUAAAUAGGUUAGCGAGAUCUUCCUGGCACCUGAGACCCGCCUGGGAACUGGGACGGACUGACGACGACAACGAGCCUGGGAACUCUGAAGCCUUUAUGCCAGUCACUGUGAUUCCCGGAAUGAGCCACAACUGGGCUACAGAGAGAGGGGCGUGGCCGAAGGCAGGACACAGGGGCAGAAACUCUAGGUUGAAAAACAAAACAAAAGCACAGGGGGAAAACAAAAACCAGAUACACAGAUAGCAGGAUCCUAACAAAAUGAAUAUUAAAACAAUUUCAAAAUAGCAUUUUUGUAUAUUUUAGAUUUUUUAGAUGUUUUUUUACAUACCAGUGUUACAUGUACAGCACAGUAAUAACUGGAUUACUUUUGAUACUAAAGAAAACAUUGGGACAUGGUGAUUAGAAGGAAAGAUCUGAGGUGGAUUUAUAUUUAUUUGUAAAUCAAGAUGUGCAAAUUGUGCUAGACAACAAAUUAACACAGCAGUAUAUUUUUGGUUUUAUCUUAAUAAUGCAUUGAUAGCUUCUUGAAAUCAGACACUAACUGUUAGCAGUGGAAUCAUUUACUUACAAGAAGAUCUUCUCGAGCGUAACGUUACAAGAACGCCACACACUGUCUCUCAUACUGUCUCACUCACCUUCUCACACACUGUCUCUCAUACUGUCUCACACUGUCUCUCAUACUGUCUCAUCCACUGUCUCACACACGUCUCUCAUACUGUCUCACACUCUCUCAUAUUGUCUCACACACUGUCUCUCAUACUGUCUCACUCACUGUCUCACACACUGUCUCUCAUACUGUCUCACUCACUGUCUCUAAUACUGGCUCACACACUGUCUCACACACUGUCUCUCAUACUGUCUCACUCACUGUCUCUAAUACUGGCUCACACACUGUCUCACACUGUCUUUCAUGUUGUACAUGUUUGUACAGUGUAGCAAUGCAGAAAACAUCUGGAAAGCCGCUGCAUGUCAUGCUCUUCGUAAAAUUCUGUAGGUGCUUAAUAAACUUCUGGAUGUUC